RNA transcript from Camponotus floridanus (Florida carpenter ant), 1454 nucleotides. It is a transcript of the gene named steroid receptor RNA activator 1, with no coding region annotated. The transcript is spliced from 5 exons. The record is from RefSeq and is a predicted model, not a curated record. Lineage: Eukaryota; Metazoa; Arthropoda; Insecta; Hymenoptera; Formicidae.
CCUCCACUCGCGGUUGCGUGUUGCUAGCGUGGACAUUCUGGCUUCUGGCAUCAAUGUAACGAAGAUGACAAGUGACGAGACAGAGAUAAAAUGGAAAUAGAGAAUAAGUAAUAUGACAACGGGAUUUGUGUGAUUGAUUAUAUUUUUGUAUUUACUGAACGUGAUUUUUUUAUAUAUACGUUUUAUUGCUUAAAUAAACAGCUGGAAAUAUGCGCACGUAAAGCGCAUUGUAAUUAAAUGAUUGAAAGAUUACAAUAGAAGGUUAAAUAGUAUAUACGUAUUUUGAUCGAUAUGAGAAACAAUAUUAUCGCACGAUAAAGAAAGCCAUGUAAUGGUUAGAUAUAAAAAUUUGUCAAUUUUAAUUUCGUUCGACUCGGCAAGCAGCUGUCAAAUCUAACCUAGAAAUGGAGCAAAAAAACUCAUCAAAUGAUACAGUGUCCAGCCAAAAGUCACUGCCAUCUUCUUACGAUUCUGGUUGGAACGAUCCACCAGAGUGGGCACUGUCUUUACAGCAUAAUUCCUCUAAAACGAAGAAACUCUUGAACAAGCGAGUGGCAUUUCCAUUAUCUUCACAGACCUCUACUGCAGAAAAAGUUAGUUCAUCUCUUCCGUCAAAUACUCCUCCCAUUUUACAAUCUUCGAUGGUUCCUACGAUAACUACAGCUCCCUAUAAGCCUCUUGUGGCAUCUAUGGAUAAAAAAUUUACAACAAUGACAUUGGACUCAGAUUUUGAUAAAGAUCAAGCUCUUACAGAAGUUUUGACCAAUUUAAAAUCAGUAAUGACAGGACAAAAGAUGGAGAUGAAUAUGAUAGAAGAAAUAGAGAAGAGAUUAGAUAUCAUGGAAACUGAUUGGCGUGAAAAUAAAUUGAAUAAUAUGAUACACAGAAGUGUUUUGGAUAUAUCGAAAGCAUUGUUGAGGAAAGAUAUUGAACAAGCCAACAAGAUCCAUAUUGCUCUUAUGACGCAACAUGUAACUGCUUGUCGUACCUGGAUACCAGCUAUUAGGCACAUUAUUUUCGAACUAAAAAAAGAAUGUGAGAAUUCUAAUGUCUCACAGCCAGAACAGUCACCUCUAUUAUCUGUUGAAUUAAAGAAAAAAUCGAGUGAAAAGAGUUAAAUGAAGUGAAACAAACACACGUAAGGGAAGAACGUCAAAUCGAUGAUGGAGACAACACUUGGCGUGUCCAACGUGUAUCGCGGACCAAUAGAUACACCACCCCUACUCUACGCGUCACGUGAUUGUUAGAUAAAUGCUUUGUACUCAGCCGACCCGAAGGGUGUAUGGCAACUGAUUGAUUAGCGGAAGCUGCAGGAUCUACAAAUUGUCCAUUCAACUGCCUCUGAGAUGUCGAAACUACUGUUUGUCCUCCAACUGGAGCCAGUGGUGAGGGCUGUCCCGUGAUGGUGUAUUGUCCCGUCGUCCCGGCUCGUUGAAAUGCAGACUGAUCCGCCG